This 440-nucleotide ribosomal RNA is filed under the name uncultured bacterium. RNAcentral describes it as "partial 16S ribosomal RNA". It matches the Rfam family "Bacterial small subunit ribosomal RNA", at positions 338 to 795 of the family's 1533-position model. The record is from RNAcentral.
CCUACGGGGGGCUGCAGUGGGGAAUAUUGCACAAUGGGGGGAACCCUGAUGCAGCGACGCCGCGUGAGUGAAGAAGUAUUUCGGUAUGUAAAGCUCUAUCAGCAGGGAAGAAGAUGACGGUACCUGACUAAGAAGCCCCGGCUAACUACGUGCCAGCAGCCGCGGUAAUACGUAGGGGGCAAGCGUUAUCCGGAUUUACUGGGUGUAAAGGGAGCGUAGACGGCAGGGCAAGUCUGAAGUGAAAGCCGGGGGCCCAACCCCGGGACUGCUUUGGAAACUGCCAUGCUGGAGUGCUGGAGAGGUAAGCGGAAUUCCUAGUGUAGCGGUGAAAUGCGUAGAUAUUAGGAGGAACACCAGUGGCGAAGGCGGCUUGCUGGACAGUAACUGACGUUGAGGCUCGAAAACGUGGGGAGCAAACAGGAUUAGAUACCCGAGUAGUC